This is a long non-coding RNA of Oncorhynchus tshawytscha (Chinook salmon), 1751 nucleotides long. The record is from Ensembl. Lineage: Eukaryota; Metazoa; Chordata; Actinopteri; Salmoniformes; Salmonidae.
GGCGGGUGGGUGUGGCCAGGGAGGACGUCCACAGGGGGAGACUCCAACGGGACCAGUAACGGUCUCUGGACUAUCCCUGAAGGGAGGGGCCAUCUUGGCCUGUACACCGUUACAUUUACAGAGACCAAGGCUUCCUCAGUGAGCGCGGCCAUUAGUAUGAUAUCUCACACUAUGCACGGUGUGCCAGAUAGACAGCUAGGAGAAAAGUGCUCCACGAAAUGAGAUCGUAAAAUCUAAGUGCACACACGUUAUGGCCUGCCUGCCUACCCGAAUAACAUUAGGACAAAUUCAAAGCUUUGGAAAAGUACAGAAUCAAUGACAAGGAAAGGACACUAGAUAUUUUUCUCAUAAUCUUUUGUUUAUUCUUCGUUAUGUUUUUUUAGACAUGAAAUAAAGAAAAUAACACCUUUCCAAAACGCCUGUGUGUCGUGUUGUGAAAAAAGGGAGGAGGGAGAUCAACAGACUACAGAGUGCUACACACUCCAUCACAGCAGAAGGAGUAAACAGACAGAAUCAGAAUCAGGGCAGAGAGAGAUCACUCACAUAGUGCAAGGAAUGCCAAUGAGAACACUGGAGUGAAUUUGAGGGGGUCUGUCCCAGCCAGGGGGGGAAUUGAACCCACAACCUUCUGGUCCCAAGACCCAGACACUAACCAACCAUUCCAAAUAGAGUUGACUCACUAGGAGGUGGGUUUGUUACAUUACCCCCUCUUUUGCGAAGCGCUAUAAUACAGUAGUGGUAUAAAACAUGUCAAAUUCAUCCACAUGCACAUCUCAACAUCUCAGUUCCACUUCAGGAGGGCUAGAUCUCAAAUACUGUUUGAGGCUUUGGCAUCCAUUUUGAAUUCAACCUGCUGUUUACAUACAAACAGUGCCACUGAAUUCCCAAGUUGUACAACAGUUACUGUCUCACCAAGUUACACAAUACACUUCAAUAUGUUAUUCAUCUCAUGCUAAUGCACAUUCAAAUAAACCCUGAUAACCAAAUACCAAGCAACUAGGUCAUUUAUCACUCUUCCAAUCAUGACUGAGUGUCUGAGUGCUUUAUAUGAAACACUUCCUGUCCUGACUAUAAUUUUCUGUAUCUCCUGACUGUGUUGUGUCUUUAUAUACAGUACAGUAGACCUAUAAGGUAGUCAGGUCUGCACAUAGUACUUUACCUCUGUUUAGUCUGAGACCUACAUCAUAUAAACCAAACGGUGCCUCUUGGAGUGUAUUUAUAGAAUAUAGGCUGACUAGCCAUUGAAUAUUUGAUUUCAUAUUUGAGGCACUAAAUCAAAGAUGAGAGUCAUCCCGUGUAGAGCACCUCAGAGGUGCAGGUUUGUGUGAUGUUAACCACAUACUGAGUCUGGACAAACACAGAGAGUUUUCUAAACAAAUGUUAGAUGAUAAGCAGAUCAUUGAGGACAAUCAUUUCUAAGCAUGGAUAUGUGACGUCGACAUACAGCUGAAAUUGUGAUUUUCUUUUCUCAUUGCACACACAUAGGCUAGAGGGUUAUACCUAGACACAGAUACAAAAUGAUGUGUCACACGCACACAACACGGGCACGCACAACACACUCACUCAGGUACGAUCACACACGCACACACACACACACGUUAGGAUGAAGAUAACACUAUGACUGAUCAAUCCUCCAAACACACACAGACACAGACACACACACACACACACACACAUUAGGAUGAAGAUAACACUAUGACUGAUCAAUCCUCCACACACACACAGACACAGACACAUUAGGAUGAAGAUAA